RNAcentral lists this ribosomal RNA (486 nucleotides) under uncultured bacterium. RNAcentral describes it as "partial 16S ribosomal RNA". It matches the Rfam family "Bacterial small subunit ribosomal RNA", at positions 28 to 507 of the family's 1533-position model. The record is from RNAcentral.
GACGAACGCUGGCGGCGUGCUUAACACAUGCAAGUCGAACGCUGAAGACCUGGCUUUUGUUGGGUUGGAUGAGUGGCGAACGGGUGAGUAACACGUGAGUAACCUGCCCUCUUCUUUGGGAUAACGCCCGGAAACGGGUGCUAAUACUGGAUAUUCACUGGCCUUCGCAUGGGGGUUGGUGGAAAGGUUUGUUCUGGUGGGGGAUGGGCUCGCGGCCUAUCAGCUUGUUGGUGGGGUGAUGGCCUACCAAGGCUUUGACGGGUAGCCGGCCUGAGAGGGUGACCGGUCACAUUGGGACUGAGAUACGGCCCAGACUCCUACGGGAGGCAGCAGUGGGGAAUAUUGCACAAUGGGCGAAAGCCUGAUGCAGCGACGCCGCGUGAGGGAUGGAGGCCUUCGGGUUGGAAACCUCUUUCGCUCAUGGUCAAGCCGCAACUGUGGGUUGUGGUGAGGGUAGUGGGUAAAGAAGCGCCGGCUAACUACGUG